UUGAAAUAAACCUGAUGAGUUGUUGCUGGUUCUCUAGAGAGCAUUGUGCACACUUGUCAUCUUUAUAUCUCCACCUGUGCACAUUUUGUAGACCUGGAUCACUCUCUGAAAUGCUAACCAGCACUUUUAGGUUGGAGGAAUUUGACUUUGUUGUCUUUCCUUGCAUUUCUAGGUCUAUGUUCUCUUUCAGAUAAUCUUAUUGUGAAAUAAUGGACCCUAUAUAAUAUAAACUUAUACAACUUUCAACAACGGAUCUAUUGGCUCUCGCAUCGAUGAAGAACGCAGCGAAAUGCGAUAAGUAAUGUGAAUUGCAGAAUUCAGUGAAUCAUCGAAUCUUUGAACGCACCUUGCGCUCCUUGGUAUUCCGAGGAGCAUGCCUGUUUGAGUGUCAUUAAUAUAUCAACCUCUUUAAAUUUUGAGAGUGUUUGGAUGUGGGGGGGGUUAUUUUGCUGGCCUUCUCCAAGGUCAGCUCCCCUGAAAUGUAUUAGCGGAACAAUUUGUUGACCGUUCAUUGGUGUGAUAGCAUAUCUACGCUAUUGACGUGAAGCAAGUUCAGCUCAUAACAGUCCAUUGACUUGGACAAUUCUCUAUUUAUUAAUGUGACCUCAAAUCAGGUAGGACUACCCGCUGAACUUAAGCAUAUCAAUAAGCGGAGGAAAAGAAACUAACAAGGAUUCCCCUAGUAACUGCGAGUGAAGCGGGAAAAGCUCAAAUUUAAAAUCUGUCAGUCUUUGGCUGUCUGAGUUGUAAUCUAGAGAAGUGUUAUCCGCGCUGGA
RNAcentral lists this ribosomal RNA (776 nucleotides) under Cortinarius collinitus. RNAcentral describes it as "eukaryotic LSU rRNA". The stretch from base 238 to 391 matches the Rfam family "5.8S ribosomal RNA". Lineage: Eukaryota; Fungi; Basidiomycota; Agaricomycetes; Agaricales; Cortinariaceae. The record is from RNAcentral.